RNAcentral lists this ribosomal RNA (470 nucleotides) under Veillonella parvula. Its description in RNAcentral is "bacterial SSU rRNA". It matches the Rfam family "Bacterial small subunit ribosomal RNA", at positions 28 to 475 of the family's 1533-position model. Lineage: Bacteria; Bacillati; Bacillota; Negativicutes; Veillonellales; Veillonellaceae. The record is from RNAcentral.
GACGAACGCUGGCGGCGUGCUUAACACAUGCAAGUCGAACGAAGAGCGAUGGAAGCUUGCUUCUAUCAAUCUUAGUGGCGAACGGGUGAGUAACGCGUAAUCAACCUGCCCUUCAGAGGGGGACAACAGUUGGAAACGACUGCUAAUACCGCAUACGAUCUAAUCUCGGCAUCGAGGAUAGAUGAAAGGUGGCCUCUACAUGUAAGCUAUCACUGAGGGAGGGGAUUGCGUCUGAUUAGCUAGUUGGAGGGGUAACGGCCCACCAAGGCGAUGAUCAGUAGCCGGUCUGAGAGGAUGAACGGCCACAUUGGGACUGAGACACGGCCCAGACUCCUACGGGAGGCAGCAGUGGGGAAUCUUCCGCAAUGGACGGAAGUCUGACGGAGCAACGCCGCGUGAGUGAUGACGGCCUUCGGGUUGUAAAGCUCUGUUAAUCGGGACGAAAGGCCUUCUUGCGAAUAGUGAGAAGG